Cinara cedri is the source of this 205-nucleotide non-coding RNA. The record is from the annotation of a GenBank genome assembly. Lineage: Eukaryota; Metazoa; Arthropoda; Insecta; Hemiptera; Aphididae.
GUUACAUCCAUUUAUUUAAUUUAUAUCUGUAAGCAACUAUAAACCAUUGCUGACGAAAGACGAUUCCGAGCAUACCUCGGUAAUACAUAGUUUGAAGUGCCGAAAUUUUUUUUAACCUAACCUCCCUACGUUUUUUCCCGAUUAUUAUAAAAAUUCACUUGAAAACCAAAAACGAAUUGCAUCAUUAAAAACAAGAUUAAUAAUU